UAAGAGGUCCAGCCUGCCCAGUGACUUAGUUCAACGGCCGCGGUAUCCUAACCGUGCGAAGGUAGCGUAAUCACUUGUUCUUUAAAUAAGGACUAGUAUGAAUGGCACCACGAAGGUUAUACUGUCUCCUUUCUCUAAUCAGUGAAACUAAUCCCCCCGUGAAGAAGCGGGGAUAAACCUAUAAGACGAGAAGACCCUAUGGAGCUUUAAACACAGUAAUAACUGCCCUUUCCCACACAAAUCCCCGGAAACAAUUACUUACCUGGGCAUCCUAAUUACAAGUUUUGGGUUGGGGUGACCGCGGAGCAAAAAAUAACCUCCAUAGUGAAUAGGACCCUUCCUUAAGCUCAGGGCCACAGCCCUAAGCAUCAAUAAAUUGACACACAUUGACCCAAUAUCGUUGAUCAAUGAACCAAGUUACCCUAGGGAUAACAGCGCAAUCCACUUCAAGAGCUCCUAUCGACAAGUGGGUUUACGACCUCGAU
RNAcentral lists this ribosomal RNA (485 nucleotides) under Leptodactylus melanonotus (black-backed frog). RNAcentral describes it as "partial large subunit ribosomal RNA". It matches the Rfam family "Bacterial large subunit ribosomal RNA", at positions 1846 to 2530 of the family's 2925-position model. The record is from RNAcentral. Lineage: Eukaryota; Metazoa; Chordata; Amphibia; Anura; Leptodactylidae.